UUUCCCAUCCCAAUAAGAAGAAGGAAGAAAGGAUAAAGAAGAGGCAACAUGCACCAAAAGUUGCCCAAUGUCACUUCUGCUUACAUCGUAUUGGCUGGAAUUUACUAAUAUGGCCACAUCUAGCUCUCAAGGAAGACUGAGAAAUGUAGUCUUUAUGCCAGCAUCCACAGGUCCAGCUAAAAUUUCUGCUAUUAGGGGAAAAAGUGAUAUUGGAGAAGAGCUGCUAAGUGGUACAACUGGGAUAAGAACCCAGCGCUGAGGGACUCCCGAGACCCUACUCCGUCAAGAACAGGUUUUAUCGCCUCCUCUGGAAGAGAGAACGCAGAGCCAUCAGCCUUCUCCGAUAAGAGUUGCGAGUUUCUCUUCUUGUGACAGUCAUGUCUCUGCCUCCUUAAAACCCCUCUUGAAAAGCCUGUCGAAGGAAGUGUCUCCAAAAAG
Molecule: long non-coding RNA, 438 nt
Organism: Prionailurus viverrinus (fishing cat)
Lineage: Eukaryota; Metazoa; Chordata; Mammalia; Carnivora; Felidae
Exons: 2
Source: RefSeq, a predicted model, not a curated record